AUGUCUCCCGCUGCCGCCGCCCCCGCGCCAUGCGAUGAUCGCGUCCGCAGCUUCGAGGACUUCGCGCGGGUGCACCAGUUCCUGCUGAUUGCGGCCGGCGUGCCGCCGUCGCUGCAUCGGCGGCUGUACCGCAAGCUCGCCGACGAGGUGUUCGACGGCGGGGAGAGAUUCUCCGUCGAGCCCUGCGAGGAAGGGAGGCAGCGCCGCCUCGUGCUCGCCUCGGACACGGCUCUAGGGAGGGAGGCAGACGUCUUCCUCGUCGACCACGCGUGGUCCUUCCGCCUCUCCGAUGCGCUCAAGCAGCUACGUGAAGUACCAGGAUUGGCUGAGAGAAUGGCAGCUCUAAUGUGUGUGGAUCUGGAUAGGAAAACUGAGGUCGAAGAGUCAGAUGAGCAAUGCAGUGAAAAUGGUGGGGGUUUGGAGCAUGUCUUGCAGGUGGUGGAGAAAGAAAGGAUUAGAAUUCAGGAGUCGGGAAGUGAUUUUGCUGCAUGGCUGGAGCUUGAGGAGCUUGGUAUCGAUGAUGAUAUGUUAGUGGCACUGGAUUUAUCUGCAAAUUUUCCGAAUCUGGUAGCCCUCAAUCUAUGGGGAAACAAGCUGCAGGAUCCAGAAAAAGUAAUGCAAGAAAUCGGGAAGUGUGGAAGGUUAAAGGCACUUUGGUUGAAUGAGAACCCUGUCCUUAACCAAUGCACUGAGAAAGAUGUUCUUGAUGGUCUUCCUGAAUUGGAAAUCUACAAUUCACAUUUUACAAGGAAAGCUAGAGAGUGGGCUUUAGGUUUCUGUGGGGAUAUGGUUGGAGCAGAAAAUCCCUGUUUGUCUGUGGGAAACAUAUCAUUGGAUAAUAUUGUGACUCUUGACCUUUCUGAUAGGUCCAUCCACAAACUACCUGAGGUGUUCUCCUCUAGUAAACUGUCAUCUCUUUCAAAUUUGAACAUCCGUGGCAAUCCUUUGGACCAAAUGUCUGGCAAUGAUCUCUUUAAGUUAUUUAGUGGGUUUACACAGUUACAGGAGUUGGAGGUAGACAUUCCUGGCCCUCUUGGAGACAGUGCAAUUACCAUUAUUGAGUCUCUUCCCAAUAUAAAUUUGCUGAAUGGUGUCAAUGCGUUAACUAUAGUCGAGAACGCUAAGCAUGUAGUGGACUCUGCACUUAAACCACGUGUUCCAGAAUGGUCACCUGAAGAAUCCCUGGCUGAAAGAGUUAUUGGUGCAAUGUGGCUGUAUCUUAUGACAUACCGGCUUGCCGAUGAAGAAAAGUUUGAUGAAACACCCAUUUGGUAUGUCAUGGAUGAGUUGGGCUCAGCCAUGCGCCAUAGUGAUGAUGCAAACUUUAGGAUAUCUCCUUUUUUGUUCAUGCCAGAAGGAAAAUUAGCUUCUGCUAUAAGUUACACAAUUCUGUGGCCUAUUUGUGAUGUUCAUACUGGAGAAGAAUGUACCCGGGAUUUCUUGUUUGGUAUUGGCGAAGACAAACAACGCUCAGCUAGGCUUACAGCCUGGUUCCACACACCAGAGAAAUAUUUUAUUCAGGAAUUCAGGAAGUAUGAGGAGCAGCUUCAGUCAACUAGUAUUUGUCCUAUAAAAGAGGCGCCCUCAACCAAAAGUGUACGUCCAAGUGAUGGCCGUCCACUUCGAGUAUUUACUGAUAUACCCCAAGUAGAGGAGUUCUUAACACGUCCAGAGUUUGUUCUCACAACUGAUCCGAAGGAUGCAGACAUCAUCUGGGCAGGCAUGCAAAUUGAUUCUGAAUUAAAGAGUUCACUAGGUCUCACAGACCAACAAUACAUGAAUCAGUUUCCUUUUGAGGCUUGUCUGGUCAUGAAGCACCACUUAGCGGAUACUAUCCACAGGGCAUGGGGCUCACCUGAGUGGCUUCAACCUACAUAUAACCUAGAGACCCAUUUGUCUCAACUAAUUGGCGAUUACUCUGUGAGGAAACGGGAUGGUAAGGACAACUUAUGGAUCAUGAAGCCUUGGAAUAUGGCAAGAACAAUUGAUACCACUGUCAGUGGUGAUCUAUCUGCUAUCAUCCGACUUAUGGAGACGGGUCCCAAGAUAUGCCAAAAGUAUAUUGAGUGUCCUGCGCUUUUCCAAGGAAGAAAGUUUGAUCUUCGGUACAUUGUUUUGGUCCGCAGUAUAUGCCCUUUGGAUAUACUUCUUUGUGAUGUUUUUUGGGUCAGGUUAGCAAACAAUCAGUACACUUUGGAGAAAACUAGCCUUUUUGAGUACGAGACCCAUUUCACUGUGAUGAACUAUAAUGGAAGGAUGAACCAUAUGAAUACUCCAGAGUUCGUCAAGGCGUUUGAGAAGGAGCACCAAGUUAAAUGGCUGGAGAUUCAUGAAAGCAUACGUAUUAUGAUAAGGCGUGUCUUUGAGUCAGCCUCAGCUGUCCAUCCUGAGAUGCAGAACUCAUUCUGUCGGGCCAUCUAUGGUGUUGAUGUUAUGCUUGAUGAUAAAUUCAAGCCAAAGAUUUUGGAGGUGACGUAUUGCCCGGACUGCACGAGGGCGUGCCAAUAUGACACGCAAGCCCUCGUAGGAAGCCAGGGCCCCAUCAAAGGCAGUGAUUUUUUCAACACGGUGUUUGGCUGCCUCUUUCUCGAUGAUUUGACGAAUGUGUCACCACUGUAA
Molecule: ribosomal RNA, 2619 nt
Filed under: Triticum aestivum (bread wheat)
Lineage: Eukaryota; Viridiplantae; Streptophyta; Magnoliopsida; Poales; Poaceae
Description: partial small subunit ribosomal RNA
Source: RNAcentral